This 189-nucleotide ribosomal RNA is filed under the name uncultured eukaryote. RNAcentral's name for it is "partial 18S ribosomal RNA". It matches the Rfam family "Eukaryotic small subunit ribosomal RNA", at positions 1299 to 1458 of the family's 1831-position model. The record is from RNAcentral.
UCGUGGUACGAGCUGUCUGGUUAAUUCCGAUAACGAACGAGAUUCUAACCUGCUAAAUAGUAUAGUUGCAAACAUCAUGUGGUUGUCCGGUGUAUUGCCCUCGUGGUGGUGCGCUUGGCGCUGCAUAAGCAGGUGAAGCUUCUUAGAGGAACUGGCGCUCAAAAAGACGUACGAGAGAGAGCAAUAACA